UGCAGUCGAACGAGGGCCCGGGGCUUGCCCCGGAUACCCUAGUGGCGGACGGGUGAGUAACGCGUGGGAACCUACCCUGGAGCGGGGAAUAAUCACUGGAAACGGUGGCUAAUACCGCAUACGCCCUCAGGGGGAAAGGCUUCGGCCACUCUAGGAUGGUCCCGCGUCCGAUUAGCUUGUUGGUGGGGUAACGGCCUACCAAGGCGACGAUCGGUAGCUGGUCUGAGAGGAUGAUCAGCCACACUGGGACUGAGACACGGCCCAGACUCCUACGGGAGGCAGCAGUGGGGAAUAUUGGACAAUGGGGGAAACCCUGAUCCAGCAAUGCCGCGUGAGUGAAAAAGGCCUUAGGGUUGUAAAACUCUUUCACCCGUGAAGAUGAUGACGGUAGCGGGAGAAGAAGCUCCGGCUAACUCCGUGCCAGCAGCCGCGGUAAUACGGAGGGGGCUAGCGUUGUUCGGAAUUACUGGGCGUAAAGCGCGCGUAGGCGGCUUAUCAAGUUAGGCGUGAAAGGCCUGGGCUCAACCCGGGAACUGCGCUUAAUAUUGGUAGACUUGAGUCCGGGAGAGGGUGGCGGAAUUCCCAGUGUAGAGGUGAAAUUCGUAGAUAUUGGGAAGAACACCAGUGGCGAAGGCGGCCACCUGGCCCGGUACUGACGCUGAGGUG
Molecule: ribosomal RNA, 666 nt
Filed under: uncultured bacterium
Lineage: Bacteria
Description: bacterial SSU rRNA
Rfam family: Bacterial small subunit ribosomal RNA
Source: RNAcentral